This 470-nucleotide ribosomal RNA is filed under the name uncultured bacterium. RNAcentral's name for it is "partial 16S ribosomal RNA". It matches the Rfam family "Bacterial small subunit ribosomal RNA", at positions 28 to 507 of the family's 1533-position model. The record is from RNAcentral.
GACGAACGCUGGCGGCGGGCUUAACACAUGCAAGUCGAACGGCGAACGAGGGAGCUUUCUUCCUCCGGAACAGUGGCGAACGGGUGUGUAACACGUGCACAAUCUGCCCCGCACUCGGGGAUAACCGCUGGAAACGACGUCUAAUACCAUAUACGCCUCGGGAGGGCAUUCUCUCCGGUUGGACCGAACUUGGGUUCGGGUGGGCCUGCCGGCCUAUCAGCUGGUGGGUGAGGUAACGGCCCACCAGGGCGACGACGGGUAGCCGGCCUGGGAGGGUGACCGGCCACAAUGGGACUGAGACACGGCCCAGACUGCAACAGGAGGCAGCAGUGGGGAGUAGUACACAAUGGGCGGAAGCCUGGUGCAGCGACGCCGCGUGUGGGACGACGGCCAUCGGGUUGUAAACCGCUUUUAGCACGGAAGAAGCGAAAGUGACGGUAACUGCAGAAAAAGCACCGGCUAACUACGUG